GAUGAAGAACGUAGCGAAAUGCGAUAAGUAAUGUGAAUUGCAGAAUUCAGUGAAUCAUCGAAUCUUUGAACGCACAUUGCGCCCGCCAGUAUUCUGGCGGGCAUGCCUGUCUGAGCGUCAUUUCAACCCUCAUGCCCCUAGGGCGUGGUGUUGGGGAUCGGCCAAAGCCCGCGAGGGACGGCCGGCCCCUAAAUCUAGUGGCGGACCCGUCGUGGCCUCCUCUGCGAAGUAGUGAUAUUCCGCAUCGGAGAGCGAUGAGCCCCUGCCGUUAAACCCCCAACUUUCCAAGGUUGACCUCAGAUCAUGUAGGAAUACCCGCUGAACUUAAGCAUAUCAAUAAGCGGAGGA
This 348-nucleotide unclassified non-coding RNA is filed under the name soil metagenome. Its description in RNAcentral is "partial contains 5.8S ribosomal RNA, internal transcribed spacer 2, and large subunit ribosomal RNA". The stretch from base 1 to 120 matches the Rfam family "5.8S ribosomal RNA", at positions 35 to 154 of the family's 154-position model. The record is from RNAcentral.